This 66-nucleotide transfer RNA is filed under the name Limnoperna fortunei. RNAcentral's name for it is "tRNA-Ile". The record is from RNAcentral. Lineage: Eukaryota; Metazoa; Mollusca; Bivalvia; Mytilida; Modiolidae.
AGCAUUAUGUGGGGUAUAAUCCAGUUACUUUGAUGUAGUAAAGUUUAGAAAUAUUUUCUUGAUGCU